AUAAUCAUUUAAUGUUAGCUUGGUUCAAUUAAAUCAAAGUUUUUAGAGAUUUUGUUGAGUUCUUUAGUCUAAUUGAACCGUGCUAAUUUCAUGUUCAUCC
Molecule: non-coding RNA, 100 nt
Organism: Glycine soja
Lineage: Eukaryota; Viridiplantae; Streptophyta; Magnoliopsida; Fabales; Fabaceae
Source: Rfam